CUACCAUGGCGUUUACGGGUAACGGAGGAUUAGGGUUCGAUUCCGGAGAGGGAGCCUGAGAAACGGCUACCACAUCUAAGGAUGGCAGCAGGCGCGUAAAUUACCCAAUCCUGAUUCAGGGAGGUAGUGACAAGAAAUAACGGACCGGGUCUUCGGACUUCGGGAUUGCAAUGAGCCGAAUUUACACCCCUUAGCGAGAAUCGAUUGGAGGGCAAGUCUGGUGCCAGCAGCCGCGGUAAUUCCAGCUCCAAUAGCGUAUAUUAAAGUUGUUGCAGUUAAAAAGCUCGUAGUUGGAUUUCUGGGAGGGUGCCAAUGUCCGCCGUAGCGCGUGUGCAGCCGCGCCCUUCCAUCCUUCUGUUAACGCCUCUUGGCAUUUGUUUGCUGGUGGCGGGCUCAGAUAUUUUACCUUGAGAAAAUUAGAGUGUUUCAGGCAGGCUAGGCCGGAAUAUAUUAGCAUGGAAUAAUGGAAUAGGACUACGGUCUCUUUGUUGGUUUGAGGGACUGCAGUAAUGAUUAAUAGGGAUAGUUGGGGGCAUUAGUAUUUAAUUGUCAGAGGUGGAAUUCUCAGAUUUGUUAAAGACUAACUUAUGCGAAAGCAUUUGCCAAGGAUGUUUUCAUUAAUCAA
RNAcentral lists this ribosomal RNA (625 nucleotides) under Ciliophora sp. RNAcentral's name for it is "SSU rRNA". It matches the Rfam family "Eukaryotic small subunit ribosomal RNA", at positions 341 to 980 of the family's 1831-position model. Lineage: Eukaryota; Ciliophora. The record is from RNAcentral.